UACGUAGGGUGCGAGCGUUAAUCGGAAUUACUGGGCAUAAAGGGUGCGUAGGCGGCUUGUUAAGUCAGGGGUGAAAGUUUUCGGCCCAACCGGAAAAUUGCCUUUGAUACUGGCGAGCUCGAGUGCGUGAGGGGUAACCGGAACGAGCAGUGUAGCGGUGAAAUGCGUAGAUAUUGCUCGGAAGGCCAACGGCGAAGGCAGGUUACUGGUACGCAACUGACGCUGAGGCACGAAAGCGUGGGGAGCAAACAGG
This 253-nucleotide ribosomal RNA is filed under the name uncultured bacterium. RNAcentral describes it as "partial 16S ribosomal RNA". It matches the Rfam family "Bacterial small subunit ribosomal RNA", at positions 524 to 776 of the family's 1533-position model. The record is from RNAcentral.